Molecule: long non-coding RNA, 614 nt
Filed under: Salvator merianae (Argentine black and white tegu)
Lineage: Eukaryota; Metazoa; Chordata; Lepidosauria; Squamata; Teiidae
Description: lncRNA (ENSSMRG00000022259.1)
Source: RNAcentral
GAUAAAUUUCAGCAAUGCUUUCCUAUAUACAUUGCAUCGCAGAUGUAUUCAGCAACUUACCAAAAACAGAAAAGUCACAUAUCUUGACUUGUGUAGAAGUUUGAACUAAUCUGCCAUUCCCUUUCUACUUAUAUAUCAACCUUCAUCUCAUGUCAUGGAAAUACUAUUAUUUCUCUGUGUAUGAGGGAAAGUGAGCUUGCCACUGAUGAAGGUGAAACAAUGUAAUAGGACAACUGCCUGGAACACUGAAGAAUCACAAAUUCAGUCCCCAAAAGAAGACAGUGACAAACCUGUUCUAUAUCUAUCAAGAAAAUGCCAUGCAGAUAUUCGUGUAGCUACCAGCAGUUGACCCAACUCACAAAACCAAAANCCACACAUUUUCUGCCAAAUGGCACUCAGAACAACACAAAACAAACAUGGUUCUACUUUGCUGAAAUUAAUCACGGAGACAAACAGAAUGUAAAAGAAGUGAAGUUUGAGGAAUGCAACUUUAAAAAAAAAGAAAGGAUGAGGAAGAAUUUGCACAGAAAGAGGGAUGUCUGAAGGAUAUACAUCUCUAGCUUGUUGGCAUGUUUUAUUACCAUAUGCAGAAUAAAUUCUUCCUUUAUCUUGCA